This 552-nucleotide ribosomal RNA is filed under the name Phoma sp. 5406. Its description in RNAcentral is "eukaryotic LSU rRNA". The stretch from base 180 to 333 matches the Rfam family "5.8S ribosomal RNA". The record is from RNAcentral. Lineage: Eukaryota; Fungi; Ascomycota; Dothideomycetes; Pleosporales; Didymellaceae.
AUUCGAUUUCUGUAGGUGAACCUGCGGAAGGAUCAUUACCUAGAGUUGUAGGCUUUGCCUGCUAUCUCUUACCCAUGUCUUUUGAGUACCUUCGUUUCCUCGGCGGGUCCGCCCGCCGAUUGGACAAAACUUAAACCCUUUGCAGUUGCGAUCAGCGUCUGAAAAAACUUAAUAGUUACAACUUUCAACAACGGAUCUCUUGGUUCUGGCAUCGAUGAAGAACGCAGCGAAAUGCGAUAAGUAGUGUGAAUUGCAGAAUUCAGUGAAUCAUCGAAUCUUUGAACGCACAUUGCGCCCCUUGGUAUUCCAUGGGGCAUGCCUGUUCGAGCGUCAUUUGUACCUUCAAGCUCUGCUUGGUGUUGGGUGUUUGUCUCGCCUCUGCGUGUAGACUCGCCUCAAAACAAUUGGCAGCCGGCGUAUUGAUUUCGGAGCGCAGUACAUCUCGCGCUUUGCACUCAUAACGACGACGAUCCAAAAGUACAUUUUUACACUCUUGACCUCGGAUCAGGUAGGGAUACCCGCUGAACUUAAGCAUAUCAAUAAGCGGAGGAA